AAUGUAUUUUCUCCGUCUAGAAAUAAGUGACUCGGAUUUAUCUAGAUUCGCAUGUAUCUAUGCACUAAAACACGUCUAGAUAUAUACAAAUCUAGACAAAUUGGUUUCACUUGUUUCUGGACGGACGGAAUACAAU
Molecule: non-coding RNA, 136 nt
Organism: Brachypodium distachyon (stiff brome)
Lineage: Eukaryota; Viridiplantae; Streptophyta; Magnoliopsida; Poales; Poaceae
Source: Rfam